This 253-nucleotide ribosomal RNA is filed under the name uncultured bacterium. RNAcentral's name for it is "partial 16S ribosomal RNA". It matches the Rfam family "Bacterial small subunit ribosomal RNA", at positions 524 to 776 of the family's 1533-position model. The record is from RNAcentral.
UACGGAGGGUGCAAGCGUUAUCCGGAUUCACUGGGUUUAAAGGGUGCGUAGGUGGGCAGGUAAGUCAGUGGUGAAAUCUCCGAGCUUAACUCGGAAACUGCCAUUGAUACUAUCUGUCUUGAAUAUUCUGGAGGUGAGCGGAAUAUGUCAUGUAGCGGUGAAAUGCUUAGAUAUGACAUAGAACACCCAUUGCGAAGGCAGCUCACUACGGGAUUAUUGACACUGAGGCACGAAAGCGUGGGGAUCAAACAGG